ACGGAAGUCGUUGUAAUGAAAUGGAAAUGGACAGAGAACUUGUUCGAAGAAAGUUGAAGUAGACUUACAACAAUGGCUUUAGUGGCGGACUGGUGAGUAACGCGUAAGGAACCUGCCUUUUAGAGGGGAAUAACAAUGAGAAAUCAUUGCUAAUACCGCAUAUGCCGAGAGAAUCACAUGGUACAAUCGGGAAAGGAGCAAUUCGCUAAAAGAUGGCCUUGCGUCUGAUUAGAUAGUUGGUGGGGUAACGGCCUACCAAGUCGACGAUCAGUAGCCGGACUGAGAGGUUGAACGGCCACAUUGGGACUGAGAUACGGCCCAGACUCCUACGGGAGGCAGCAGUCGGGAAUAUUGCGCAAUGGAGGAAACUCUGACGCAGUGACGCCGCGUAUAGGAAGAAGGUUUUCGGAUUGUAAACUAUUGUCGUUAGGGAAGAGAAAGGACAGUACCUAAGGAGGAAGCUCCGGCUAACUACGUGCCAGCAGCCGCGGUAAUACGUAGGGAGCGAGCGUUAUCCGGAAUUAUUGGGUGUAAAGGGUGCGUAGACGGGAAGAUAAGUUAGUUGUGAAAUCCCUCGGCUUAACUGAGGAACUGCAACUAAAACUGUUUUUCUUGAGUGCAGGAGAGGUAAGUGGAAUUCCUAGUGUAGCGGUGAAAUGCGUAGAUAUUAGGAGGAACACCAGUGGCGAAAGCGACUUACUGGACUGUA
RNAcentral lists this ribosomal RNA (709 nucleotides) under uncultured bacterium. RNAcentral's name for it is "bacterial SSU rRNA". It matches the Rfam family "Bacterial small subunit ribosomal RNA", at positions 55 to 738 of the family's 1533-position model. The record is from RNAcentral.